GUGAGGAAUAUUGCGCAAUGGAGGCAACUCUGACGCAGCCAUGCCGCGUGCAGGAAGAAGGCGCUACGCGUUGUAAACUGCUUUUAACCGGGAAGAAACCCCAGGACGUGUCCUGGGUUGACGGUACCGGAGGAAUAAGCACCGGCUAACUUCGUGCCAGCAGCCGCGGGAAUACGAAGGGUGCAAGCGUUAUCCGGAUUCAUUGGGUUUCAAGGGUGCGUAGGCGGAGCGUUAAGUCAGUGGUGAAAUCCUGCAGCUUAACUGUAGACUUGCCAUUGAUACUGGCGCUCUUGAGUGCGCUUGAAGUGGGCGGAAUGUGCCGUGUAGCGGUGAAAUGCUUAGAUAUGGCACAGAACACCAAUUGCGAAGGCAGCUCACUAAGGCGAUACUGACGCUGAGGCACGAAAGCGUGGGGAUCGAACAGGAUUAGAAACCCCUGUAGUCC
This 445-nucleotide ribosomal RNA is filed under the name uncultured bacterium. RNAcentral's name for it is "partial 16S ribosomal RNA". It matches the Rfam family "Bacterial small subunit ribosomal RNA", at positions 354 to 796 of the family's 1533-position model. The record is from RNAcentral.